RNAcentral lists this small RNA (716 nucleotides) under Pan troglodytes (chimpanzee). RNAcentral's name for it is "retained intron". Lineage: Eukaryota; Metazoa; Chordata; Mammalia; Primates; Hominidae. The record is from RNAcentral.
UCCUCUCGAGAAGGCGCGGGGCGGGCUGUCCGGCCCGCAGGGCGGUCGAGCCCGCGGCGCCAUGGCUCACGUCGGCUCCCGCAAGCGCUCGAGGAGUCGCAGCCGGUCCCGGGGACGGGGGUCGGAAAAGAGAAAGAAGAAGAGCAGGAAGGACGCCUCGAGGAACUGCUCGGCCUCCACAUCCCAAGGUCGCAAGGCCAGCACGGCCCCUGGGGCGGAGGUUCUCCUAGCUCCUCUUCUUCCUCCUCGUCCUCCUCCUCUUCCUCCAGUGAUGGCCGGAAGAAGCGGGGGAAGUAUAAGGACAAGAGGAGGAAGAAGAAGAAGAAGAGGAAGAAGCUGAAGAAGAAGAGCAAGGAGAAGGCGGAAGCACAGCAGAGCAUCAUCCGCAAGGUGGUGGACCCCGAGACGGGGCGCACCAGGCUUAUUAAGGGAGAUGGCGAGGUCCUAGAGGAAAUCGUAACCAAAGAACGACACAGAGAGAUCAACAAGGUGGGUGUGGCCCCUCUGCCUGCCAUCUGCCCCCAGCUCUGUUUGUGAUGUACCCCUCCUCCUGUGUGCUUUCUUCCCCAGCAAGCCACCCGAGGGGACGGCCUGGCCUUCCAGAUGCGAGCUGGGUUGCUUCCCUGAGGGCCCCCGCUGGCCAAGGCCUGUGGACGGCGCUGGCGGCCCAGCCUGGGCAGGUUUCAGGGUGCCAGUGGGAAGCCUGAUGGGUGCUG